GUGGGGAAUAUUGCACAAUGGGCGAAAGCCUGAUGCAGCAACGCCGCGUGAGCGAUGAAGGCCUUCGGGUCGUAAAGCUCUGUCCUCAAGGAAGAUAAUGACGGUACUUGAGGAGGAAGCCCCGGCUAACUACGUGCCAGCAGCCGCGGUAAUACGUAGGGGGCUAGCGUUAUCCGGAAUUACUGGGCGUAAAGGGUGCGUAGGUGGUUUCUUAAGUCAGAGGUGAAAGGCUACGGCUCAACCGUAGUAAGCCUUUGAAACUGGGAAACUUGAGUGCAGGAGAGGAGAGUGGAAUUCCUAGUGUAGCGGUGAAAUGCGUAGAUAUUAGGAGGAACACCAGUUGCGAAGGCGGCUCUCUGGACUGUAACUGACACUGAGGCACGAAAGCGUGGGGAGCAAACAGG
RNAcentral lists this ribosomal RNA (404 nucleotides) under bacterium. RNAcentral's name for it is "bacterial SSU rRNA". It matches the Rfam family "Bacterial small subunit ribosomal RNA", at positions 354 to 776 of the family's 1533-position model. RNAcentral also lists the same sequence under 2 other names. The record is from RNAcentral.